RNAcentral lists this ribosomal RNA (253 nucleotides) under uncultured bacterium. RNAcentral's name for it is "partial 16S ribosomal RNA". It matches the Rfam family "Bacterial small subunit ribosomal RNA", at positions 524 to 776 of the family's 1533-position model. The record is from RNAcentral.
UACGUAGGGUGCAAGCGUUGUCCGGAAUUAUUGGGCGUAAAGAGCUUGUAGGUGGUUUGUCGCGUUGGUCGUGAAAACCGGGGGCUUAACCCUCGGCGUGCGGGCGAUACGGGCAGACUUGAGUACUGCAGGGGAGACUGGAAUUCCUGGUGUAGCGGUGGAAUGCGCAGAUAUCAGGAGGAACACCGGUGGCGAAGGCGGGUCUCUGGGCAGUAACUGACGCUGAUGCGCGAAAGCGUGGGGAGCAAACAGG